AGAUCUUCCCAUUUGCAGUACUGCCCUCCUGCUAAUGCUCGAUAAUACCUAUCCCUACAGUAGACAGGUCUUCCAUCAGCAGCCUCAGCAGCAGCAGCUGCUAGAUCAUCAUCAGUUAUCACCUCGACUGGUAAUUUAAGCAGCUCCUCUUUUCUGCAGUAUGCAUUAAAAAAUUGCUAUGACAUGGUGGAAAAACUCUGGAAGAUAGUAAGGGAUCUUUAUGUCUUCUCUUACCUUAAGAGCUUUGUGUUAACCUUGGGAGCUUGAACAGUUGAUUUAAUUUCUUCUUUGGUAAAGGUAGUUCGAAAAAAAUUCUCCAAUGGUGUAGCAAAGAUAAAUAGCAUAACUCCUGUAACAAGCAAUGCUCCUGUCCCAACUAGAGUUUGUUUCAGCAAUUUAACGACUGGUUUAACCUGGGGACAUGGAAUAUACGUGAAUCAUGCUGCAAGAAAUCAAAUUUAACAUAUUGCUCUUCUAGUCUGUAUCCAAAAUCUUUCUGAAUUCAAGCAAUGCUGUGAUACUUUGUGAUGUCCAGUACCUUGUAAGAGCCCAACAAUCUAUCACGAGCUAGGAUCUGCAAAGAAAUUAAGUUUUCAGAUUAUAUUGCCUGAAAUUCCAGAAAUGAAACAUGUCACUGGUUCAUUUAGUAGUAUUAAUAUUUGUUAGCACAUUUCAGCUACACUUUAUUCCAUAUCCUUCAUGUUCACUAAUUCUGAAGACUGCUUGUUGCUUAAUCUAGAAGUAUCUCUUACAAUUUGAAAGCCAAUUACAAGUUGCUACCCUAUUAUGUGUUCACCUUUACCAAUGACCCUGUCUUUUGUAAAAAGGCCAGCAGUUGAUUUUAUCCUACCUAGUGCCAAAUUGCAAGCAAUGUCUAAAAUUGGCUACUUUUAUAUUCAUUGAGGGAGGCAUAUUUUACUGUCAAUAUUCUGCUGUCGAUAGAAUCAUAAAUUUUUCAGUUUGCAAUGUGUAUAUAUCUUAUAGCGCACUGAAUCUACCACCAUCAAAAUGAUUUUGCACGUGUGAUGUUUUCAGGCAUAUUUUUGUUCUGUUCCCUCUAGGUACAGGAAGAAUGUGUAGAAGAGGCUAACCUCGGGCGGCUUGACCCACAUCUGUCCGUCGUACCAUCCACUUUCUUCAUAAGGGAUGACCGCUGAUAGAAGU
Molecule: long non-coding RNA, 1164 nt
Filed under: Glycine max (soybean)
Lineage: Eukaryota; Viridiplantae; Streptophyta; Magnoliopsida; Fabales; Fabaceae
Description: long non-coding RNA (GMAX_LNC000215)
Source: RNAcentral